This 465-nucleotide ribosomal RNA is filed under the name Vreelandella stevensii. RNAcentral's name for it is "partial 16S ribosomal RNA". It matches the Rfam family "Bacterial small subunit ribosomal RNA", at positions 338 to 795 of the family's 1533-position model. The record is from RNAcentral. Lineage: Bacteria; Pseudomonadati; Pseudomonadota; Gammaproteobacteria; Oceanospirillales; Halomonadaceae.
CCUACGGGAGGCAGCAGUGGGGAAUAUUGGACAAUGGGGGGAACCCUGAUCCAGCCAUGCCGCGUGUGUGAAGAAGGCCCUCGGGUUGUAAAGCACUUUCAGUGAGGAAGAACGCCUGUUGGUUAAUACCCAUCAGGAAAGACAUCACUCACAGAAGAAGCACCGGCUAACUCCGUGCCAGCAGCCGCGGUAAUACGGAGGGUGCGAGCGUUAAUCGGAAUUACUGGGCGUAAAGCGCGCGUAGGUGGCUUGAUAAGCCGGUUGUGAAAGCCCCGGGCUCAACCUGGGAACGGCAUCCGGAACUGUCAAGCUAGAGUGCAGGAGAGGAAGGUAGAAUUCCCGGUGUAGCGGUGAAAUGCGUAGAGAUCGGGAGGAAUACCAGUGGCGAAGGCGGCCUUCUGGACUGACACUGACACUGAGGUGCGAAAGCGUGGGUAGCAAACAGGAUUAGAUACCCUUGUAGUC